RNAcentral lists this ribosomal RNA (460 nucleotides) under uncultured bacterium. Its description in RNAcentral is "partial 16S ribosomal RNA". It matches the Rfam family "Bacterial small subunit ribosomal RNA", at positions 338 to 795 of the family's 1533-position model. The record is from RNAcentral.
CCUACGGGAGGCAGCAGUGAGGAAUAUUGGUCAAUGGACGCGAGUCUGAACCAGCCAAGUAGCGUGAAGGAUGACUGCCCUAUGGGUUGUAAACUUCUUUUAUAAAGGAAUAAAAUGAGGCACGUGUGCCCUUUUGCAUGUACUUUAUGAAUAAGGAUCGGCUAACUCCGUGCCAGCAGCCGCGGUAAUACGGAGGAUCCGAGCGUUAUCCGGAUUUAUUGGGUUUAAAGGGAGCGUAGAUGGGUUGUUAAGUCAGUUGUGAAAGUUUGCGGCUCAACCGUAAAAUUGCAAUUGAUACUGGCAGUCUUGAGUACAGUUGAGGUAGGCGGAAUUCGUGGUGUAGCGGUGAAAUGCUUAGAUAUCACGAAGAACUCCGAUUGCGAAGGCAGCUUACUAAACUGUGACUGACAUUGAUGCUCGAAAGUGUGGGUAUCAAACAGGAUUAGAUACCCGAGUAGUC